GGCGCGCAAAUUACCCAAUCCCGACACGGGGAGGUAGUGACAAUAAAUACUGAUACAGGGCUCUUUUGGGUCUUGUAAUUGGAAUGAGUACAAUUUAAAUCCCUUAACGAGGAACAAUUGGAGGGCAAGUCUGGUGCCAGCAGCCGCGGUAAUUCCAGCUCCAAUAGCGUAUAUUAAAGUUGUUGUGGUUAAAAAGCUCGUAGUUGAACCUUGGGCCUGGCUGGCCGGUCCGCCUCACCGCGUGUACUGGUCCGGCCGGGCCUUUCCCUCUGUGGAACCCCAUGCCCUUCACUGGGUGUGGCGGGGAAACAGGACUUUUACUUUGAAAAAAUUAGAGUGCUCCAGGCAGGCCUAUGCUCGAAUACAUUAGCAUGGAAUAAUAGAAUAGGACGUGUGGUUCUAUUUUGUUGGUUUCUAGGACCGCCGUAAUGAUUAAUAGGGACAGUCGGGGGCAUCAGUAUUCAAUUGUCAGAGGUGAGAUUCUUGGAUUUAUUGAAGACUAACUACUGCGAAAGCAUUUGCCAAGGAUGUUUUCAUUAAUCAGGAACGAAAGUUAGGGGAUCGAAGACGAUCAGAUACCGUCGUAGUCUUAACCAUAAACUAUGCCGACUAGGGAUCGGACGAUGUUAUUUUUUGACUCGUUCGGCACCUUACGAGAAAUCAAAAGUGCUUGGGCUCC
Molecule: ribosomal RNA, 679 nt
Filed under: uncultured eukaryote
Lineage: Eukaryota
Description: SSU rRNA
Rfam family: Eukaryotic small subunit ribosomal RNA
Source: RNAcentral